Molecule: ribosomal RNA, 497 nt
Filed under: uncultured bacterium
Lineage: Bacteria
Description: partial 16S ribosomal RNA
Rfam family: Bacterial small subunit ribosomal RNA
Source: RNAcentral
GAUGAACGCUGGCGGCGUGCCUAAUACAUGCAAGUCGAGCGAACAGAUGAGGAGCUUGCUCCUCUGACGUUAGCGGCGGACGGGUGAGUAACACGUGGAUAACCUACCUAUAAGACUGGGAUAACUUCGGGAAACCGGAGCUAAUACCGGAUAAUAUAUUGAACCGCAUGGUUCAAUAGUGAAAGACGGUUUUGCUGUCACGUAUAGAUGGAUCCGCGCCGCAUUAGCUAGUUGGUAAGGUAACGGCUUACCAAGGCAACGAUGCGUAGCCGACCUGAGAGGGUGAUCGGCCACACUGGAACUGAGACACGGUCCAGACUCCUACGGGAGGCAGCAGUAGGGAAUCUUCCGCAAUGGGCGAAAGCAUGACGGAGCAACGCCGCGUGAGUGAUGACGGUCUUCGGAUCGUAAAACUCUGUUAUUAGGGAAGAACAAAUGUGUAAGUAACUAUGCACGUCUUGACGGUACCUAAUCAGAAAGCAACGGCUAACUACGUG